Molecule: ribosomal RNA, 612 nt
Filed under: Salmonella enterica subsp. enterica serovar Nchanga str. CFSAN001091
Lineage: Bacteria; Pseudomonadati; Pseudomonadota; Gammaproteobacteria; Enterobacterales; Enterobacteriaceae
Description: bacterial LSU rRNA
Rfam family: Bacterial large subunit ribosomal RNA
Source: RNAcentral
GGUUAAGCGACUAAGCGUACACGGUGGAUGCCCUGGCAGUCAGAGGCGAUGAAGGGCGUGCUAAUCUGCGAUAAGCGCCGGUAAGGUGAUAUGAACCGUUAUAACCGGCGAUACCCGAAUGGGGAAACCCAGUGUGAUUCGUCACACUAUCAUUACGUGAAUACAUAGCGUAAUGAAGCGAACCGGGGGAACUGAAACAUCUAAGUACCCCGAGGAAAAGAAAUCAACCGAGAUUCCCCCAGUAGCGGCGAGCGAACGGGGAGGAGCCCAGAGCCUGAAUCAGCAUGUGUGUUAGUGGAAGCGUCUGGAAAGGCGCGCGAUACAGGGUGACAGCCCCGUACACAAAAGCGCAUGUGCUGUGAGCUCGAUGAGUAGGGCGGGACACGUGGUAUCCUGUCUGAAUAUGGGGGGACCAUCCUCCAAGGCUAAAUACUCCUGACUGACCGAUAGUGAACCAGUACCGUGAGGGAAAGGCGAAAAGAACCCCGGCGAGGGGAGUGAAAAAGAACCUGAAACCGUGUACGUACAAGCAGUGGGAGCACCCUUUGGGGUGUGACUGCGUACCUUUUGUAUAAUGGGUCAGCGACUUAUAUUCUGUAGCAAGGUUAACCG